This 203-nucleotide microRNA precursor is filed under the name Oryza rufipogon (brownbeard rice). Its description in RNAcentral is "MIR812 microRNA precursor family". It matches the Rfam family "MIR812 microRNA precursor family". The record is from Rfam by way of RNAcentral. Lineage: Eukaryota; Viridiplantae; Streptophyta; Magnoliopsida; Poales; Poaceae.
UAUAAGGGAUUUUGAGUUUUUGCUUGUAAUGUUUGACCACUCGUCUUAUUCAAUUUUUUUUUAAAAUUAUUAUUUAUUUUAUUUGUGACUUACUUUAUUAUCUAUAGUACUUUAAGCACAACUUUUUGUUUUUUAUAUUUGCAAAAAAAAUUGAAUAAGACGAAUGGUCAAACGUUGCAAGCAAAAACUCAAAAUCCCUUAUA